CAAAGUGCCUGUAAAUAAACCCUGAGUGGGCAACAUGAAUGGCCGCAGACCAGACAAAAUGAGAAUCCAGUUAAACAAGUGCAUGAAAUAUGCCCCUUAGUCCACUCAGCCUGCAACACAAAAGCACAGAACAGGCAGCUUCUAAACCACAGACAUUGACUUCCGUUCUGGAGGCCGGAAGUCCAAGAUGGAGGGUCCCGCAGAUUCCGUGUCUGGUCUUUUUCUACAGAAACAUUGGCAAAAUCAUCUUCAUUGUUCAUAGAUUGUUGCAGCAGAUCCAACUGAAGGAUACACCAACCAUUUUAAUCGGACACAAAAGAACAGGCUGUCCUCACCUGACCACCACCCACAACAACCGAACUUUAAUCAGACACAAAAGAACAGGCUGUCACCUGACCACCACCCACAACAACCGAAGGGCAGGGUGAGUCCAUUUAGAGUCUCGAGAAUUUCAGACGUGCAUUCACUUUAAAGAGUGCACCAGAAGUGUGAUUUGAAGAGGACAAAUGGUUUUCUAGCUCCAGAGUGGUUAAAAUAUAAUCUGGGUAAGUAAGGAGAAAUGGAAGUGCCUAACGAAUCCAACGUGUGAGAAAAGCUGGUGAAGACAAUUCAUGGGGGAUUUGAUGCUCUGUGUAAAACAGAGAAGGAAGAAAGCCAUUUAGUUGUGAAGGAGGCCCUUCGCAAAUACCAGCAAAGGCAGCCCAGGACAGGGACGCUGGCCAACCUCUGCUAGAAUCACGUUGCUGCUAGAUAAUGCAAUGCACAAAUAAAGUAACAGAUCCAAUAAUGCAAGCAGGGCUCAGGACCAUGACCCCAGGCUGAGGACUGAGGGUAAAGUGCCACUUGCCACAUGGGGCCUCCGGGGGAAGUCGGGAAGAAACCUGCACAAGGAUGAGACCGUCCCCCAGCAGGACUCCAGGACUCCAUCCCCAGGGCCAUGGCCACCCCAGGGCCAUGCAUGCCCAGAAACACCCUCCAUUCCCUGCAGGCAGGAACAGCAGGUGCAGCUCCUCUGCCUGCCAGCUUUGGGACCUCUAGGACUGACCGCUUCCUGUCUGGACACCAGUCCUGUAAUGCUCUCAUCCUUGCUGUCUGAGAGUCUUGCUGUGUCACCAGGCUGAUCUCGGCUCACCACAACCUCCGCCGCCCAAGUUCAAGUAAUUCUCCAGCCUCAGCCUCCCCAGUAGCUGGGACUACAGGCAUGUGCCACCAUGUCCAGCUAAUUUUUGUAUUUUUAGUAGAGACAGGGUUUCACCACGUUGGCCAGGAUGGUCUCGAUCUCUUGACCUUGUGAUCCACCUACCCCAGCCUCCCAAAGUGCUGGGAUUACAGGCGUGAGCCACCGUGCCUGGCCCUGGUUUCCUUUUUCUUAGCAAUCUUUUCUUCAAUAUACUUUUUCCAACUCUCACAUUUUACUAUGAGCAGCAAGAAGAAACCAGGCUCUUCCUUCAACAUUUUCCUUAGAGAUCUCCUCAGCUAAAUAUCCAAGUUUGUCCCCUACAGGUUAUACUUUCGACACAACAAGACACAAUUGCACCAACUUCUCUACCAUGUUGUGGCAAAGAUCAUCUCCUGCGUUUUCCAAUAGCAUGUUCCUAUUUCCGUCUGAGCCCUCCCCAGAAUCACCUUUAACAUCCAUAUGUCUACCAACUGUAUCUUCAGAACAAUUGAGUCUUCUUCUGACAUAAAUGUUAAAACUCUCUCUGCCUCUAACCGUUACCCAGUUCCAAAGCCACCCCGGCAUUGUCAGGUAUUGGUCACAGCACUUCCUUUCUCAGAACCAAAAUCUCUCUUAGCCUGCUCAGGCUUCCAGAGCACAGGAACACACACCAGGGGACUUAAAGCCAAAGAAACCCACUGUCGUAGAGUUGUGAGGUCUAGAAGUCCAAAAUCAGAGUGUUGUCAGGGCCAACCUACACCUCGUGCUGUAAAGGGGGCCCUCCCUUGCCUCUUCCUCCUCCUGGUCACCCCAGGCAUUACUCACCCUGUUGACGGGUCCUAAUCUCUGCCUCUGACUUCACGUGGAUUCUUCCUGUGUGUGCAUCUGUCUCCAAAUGUCCCCAUUUCAUAAGGGCACUUCUUUAGGCAUUUCAUUAAGGCUCACCCUAGUGAUUUCACUUUGAAUUGUUUGCUUAAGAUCACAUUUUGAGGUAGUGGGGGUUAGGCUUUCUACAUAUCUGUUUUAGAUAAAAAUUCCAAAUUCAGACAAAAUUCAACCUAUGACAAAGUCAUGCUAUUGCUAUUACAUACUCGACCUAUAACGAAGUUACACUAUUAACUCACUACUACAUACUCAGUAUAACAAACUCACUCUAAUACUCACUACUACAUACUCAGUAUAACAAAGUCAUGGUAAUACUCACUACUACAUACUUGGUAUAACAAAGUCACGCUAAUACUAACUACUACAUACUCGGUACAAAGUCAUGCUAAUACUCACUACUACAUACUUGACCUAUGACAAAGUCACACUAUUACCACUGCCCAACCAACCUAUAACGCAGUCACACUAUUACUCACUGCUACACACUCGACCUAUAAGAAAGUCAUGGUAUUACCGCUGCAUAUCCGACCUACGACAAAGUCACCCUAUUACUCACUGCUGCAUACUCAAUCCCAGAUUUACAAUCGGAAGCCUCUGCUGGUGAAAAUAUGGAAGUCAAUACUGAAUGUCCCUUUCUUUGCCAUAAAACUGCCAUCACACAGAAGAGAGAACUUACCAAGCAAUACCAACACAUUCAUUCUCCAAUAAAAUUAUUAAUUUCUU
RNAcentral lists this long non-coding RNA (2767 nucleotides) under Homo sapiens (human). RNAcentral describes it as "long non-coding RNA NONHSAT156486.1". Lineage: Eukaryota; Metazoa; Chordata; Mammalia; Primates; Hominidae. The record is from RNAcentral.